CGGCGCGUUUUAGCAUGCAAGUCGAACGGCAAGGUACCUUCGGGUACCCUAGAGUGGCGAACGGGUGAGUAACACGUAGGUGAUGUGCCCUAAAGUUGGGGAUAGCUCAUGGAAACAUGGGGUAAUACCGAAUAAUCUGGCAGUUUUUGUGCUGUCAGGAAAGAGGCUUUCGGGCCUCGCUUUUGGAUCAGCCUGCGGCUUAUUAGCUUGUUGGUGAGGUAAUGGCUCACCAAGGCAACGAUAAGUAGCCGGCCUGAGAGGGUGACCGGCCACAUUGGGACUGAGACACGGCCCAGACUCCUACGGGAGGCAGCAGCUAAGAAUCUUCCGCAAUGGGCGCAAGCCUGACGGAGCGACGCCGCGUGCAUGAUGAAGGCAGAGAUGUUGUAAAGUGCUUUUAUGGGUGAGGAAUAAUGGAGACAGGAAAUGGUCUCCAGAUGACGUGAACCCAUGAAUAAGCUCCGGCUAAUUACGUGCCAGCAGCCGCGGUAAUACGUAAGGAGCGAGCGUUGUUCGGAAUUAUUGGGCGUAAAGUGCGUGCAGGCUGUCUAUUAAGUCUGAUGUGAAAUCAUACGGCUCAACCGUAUUGGUGCGUUGGAAAUUGGUAGACUAGAAUUCGAGAGAGGAAAUUGGAAUUCCUGGUGUAGGGGUGAAAUCUGUUGAUAUCAGGAGGAAACAUCUGAGC
This 685-nucleotide ribosomal RNA is filed under the name uncultured bacterium. RNAcentral's name for it is "bacterial SSU rRNA". It matches the Rfam family "Bacterial small subunit ribosomal RNA", at positions 40 to 715 of the family's 1533-position model. The record is from RNAcentral.